UCUGUAUCUCUCUUAUUAGCUUUUAUAUAUCACUUCUCAGCUUUGUCAAUCUAAACUCAGCUUCGGAUUCAAACUCUGGUCUCUGCACUCUUUACCCAUGUAACCAACCGCCUCAACCGCCUUCUUCUACAGGCUACUCUCCAUAUGGUAAUCCUCCGCCGCCGCCUCCCUCUACAGGCUACUCUCCAUACGGUAAUCCCCCACCUCCUUCACCGCCACGUUCUCGCUGCCCUCCUGUUCCUCCGACAGGCUGUUGCAACCAACCACCACCCUCUACGUAUUAUUCUCC
RNAcentral lists this long non-coding RNA (289 nucleotides) under Brassica napus (rape). RNAcentral's name for it is "long non-coding RNA (BNAP_LNC001226)". The record is from RNAcentral. Lineage: Eukaryota; Viridiplantae; Streptophyta; Magnoliopsida; Brassicales; Brassicaceae.